Macaca mulatta (Rhesus monkey) is the source of this 2135-nucleotide non-coding RNA. The record is from RefSeq and is a predicted model, not a curated record. NCBI's taxonomy places the organism in Eukaryota, Metazoa, Chordata, Mammalia, Primates, Cercopithecidae.
GGCCCUGGAUGGGCCACCCUGUAGGGCUGUGGGCAUUGUGGGGCUGAUCCGCCAGAGUCCUUCCUGCCUGGCGCCUGACCCAGGCACUGGCUGACACAUAAUGGCCCUGUCUUGGCCCUAUACGUCGGUUUACAGGGCCAGAACCUGGAAGCAGAGCGCAGGACGAGCCAGAUCCCGCCAGGCUCCCCCCGAGGACCUGUCCAGUGCCUCUGCGCCGCCUGGAGCCAGGCCCGCCUUCUCCAUGGCUGCCGUGGCCUUGAGGACCUCCAGCCUCGCUGCACAGGUUUCCAAGGAGAGGACACGGUGCCCUGACCUGACUGGAUGCUGCCUCUUACCGCAUAGCCCGCUGGCAGGCAGGGCCUCCACUUCUUUUUACAAAUUUGUCUGAGAUCAUUACUCAGGUCAUUCAGGUGGUCAUGGCCCAGCCAGGCUUUGGACCCGAGCUGUGCUAUUCCACAGCUGGCACUCUGGCCUGUGUGCCUCAUGAUCAUGGAUACAGCACGUAUUCUUAUUUAUUCCUGUAGUCCUGGGGUACUUUGCACCGUGGCAUAUCUGUAAUAAGCACAUGCACAACUAGAAGGAGGUCUUCACUUCAACAUAUAAGUUGACCAUGGCCCACUCUGGGCUCCAGUCCUCUACAAAGAUGUAGGGCAGGGACUACCAGUUGUCAGCACAGCACCAUCCCACAUUGCUCUUCUAAUGGAGCCUUUCAACCCAGAUGUUCUUUCUCAUCUGAUGGGAAGGAUCCAGCUAUGUAAAGAUUAUGUUCUAGAUCAGCUUUGGUCUAUCCUAAAAGAAAUUUGCCAGUGGAUUAUUCCAUAUAGAUAAAAGUCAGUUUCUCUGGUCUUCCUGGAAUGUGUCUAGAAAGCAAGUACUUUAUUUAUUUACAAGUUAAUUGUGGAUCAAUGUAUUGGAUUAAAAUGUGACCAACAUAAUUUGGUCAUUGUGAGCAUGCCAGCUCGGUCCACUCUUCCCCACACAUUAUGAUAUCCUAAAUAUAACUCUAGAUUUUCUUAUGCCCUAGAGAAGGACAUACUCUUGGGUGUCUGGACUAGGGAAACAUGUAUGAAAAACCAUUCGGCCACUCUAUAUCUGAAGUUACUUCUGUCAUUUUGUUAAUUAUUUUCUGGUUGUUUUGUAGAUCUUUUGUUUCUUCUUUUAUUGUUUCCUUUAUGGUUUGGUGAGUUUCUGUACUGAUAAGCUUUGAUUCCUUUAUUUCAUUGACAUAUCUGGUGGUAUAAUUUUUUUCUCUUUGGUUACUCUGGAGCUUACAUUUAAAAAUUUAUAGUUAUGAUAGGCUAUUUAAAGCUGAUAAAAAGUUUUGAUCACACACAAACAUGCUAUAUUCCCCCCACAUCCCCUGUCAAUGCACAAAAUUUGUACUUUUUUGGUUUAAUUUAUAUUGUUCUGUAUUGGGCAUUUAUUAAGAACUCAUUGUGGAUAUAAAUAUCUUUGACUAUUUUGAUGUUUUAAUGGGUUACCAAGUCUGAAUUUCUGAAGAUAGUUAUACUAGGGAUGAAUUCAAUGUAAUUCAUGAAUUAUUCAUGACUUUCUAGAUGGGUUAAUGAAUGUUUCUUUUAGCCCCUCAGGACGAGAUCUCUGAAUCAGUGGGGAGCUUCAUGAGGGACGUCAGGGGGAGUUGGGAGGAUGCUGAUGGAAGUGGGGAGGCCUGCGGUCGUCCUGCACUUGUUUGUCUAAAAGUGAUGAGAAGGCUUCACCCAAAUGCAGGAGCCAUGACCCUGACCCAUCACUGCCCCAUGUUACAGGAGACAGGACUUGACCGUCCUCCCACAAGUCAGAGCUAUUGUUAAUCAAGACCUCAGGUGACCAGCUCUCCCCAGGUCUCAAGGGCCUGUCACAUGGCAUAUUACUUUCCUGUGUUUUCUGACAAUUCUAUCUAAAAUCUUCAGUGAUCUAUCUCAAGGUGAGGAAAUGGGAGUUCUACAAGUUUAAGUGCCUUGCCCAAAGUUGCAUGGCUGUUAAGAAGCUGAACCAUGAUUGAAACCCAGAACUCUUCCAUUUCAAAAUCAGUGGCCUUAAUUACUCUACAUUUGUUUAUUUGAUUGUUGUCUGUCUCUGCCUGUCAACUAUUGUGCUCACAAGAUAUAAGAUAAAUAGCCAACAUCAACUGCUGA